CCCCUUUCAUUUAUAUUUCAUUAAAGACGAAACUUCAAAAAUUUGAGAUAAAGCAUGAGUUUCAGAUUAUGUGUGUGAAAGGUAUGUGCCAAAUUUUGAAAUUCUAUGUGCCAAAUUCUGAAAUUCAAUAGAAAUUUUAGAUUUGAUCAUUUUCAUUGUUACAAAUUGCUCCCCCUUAAAUGUAUAUGCUUUCCUAUUAUAAUUUUCAACUUGUUUGACAACUUAUUUCUCUUUCUUACACAACUUAUAAUUUUCAACUUGUCUUUCCUUACUUCUUCCCCUUUUUGUUAUCAUCAAAUAGGUGCAUGGGAAUAUACACAAUAAUUAACAAACAUUUAAACUUCAUUGAUCAAAAUAGGAACAUUUUAGUACAAUUAAUGCCAAAAACAAAAAC
This 394-nucleotide long non-coding RNA is filed under the name Phoenix dactylifera (date palm). RNAcentral's name for it is "long non-coding RNA (PDAC_LNC021471)". Lineage: Eukaryota; Viridiplantae; Streptophyta; Magnoliopsida; Arecales; Arecaceae. The record is from RNAcentral.